GAUGAACGCUGGCGGCGUGCCUAAUACAUGCAAGUCGAGCGAACAGACGAGGAGCUUGCUCCUCUGACGUUAGCGGCGGACGGGUGAGUAACACGUGGAUAACCUACCUAUAAGACUGGGAUAACUUCGGGAAACCGGAGCUAAUACCGGAUAAUAUAUUGAACCGCAUGGUUCAAUAGUGAAAGACGGUUUUGCUGUCACUUAUAGAUGGAUCCGCGCCGCAUUAGCUAGUUGGUAAGGUAACGGCUUACCAAGGCAACGAUGCGUAGCCGACCUGAGAGGGGGAUCGGCCACACUGGAACUGAGACACGGUCCAGACUCCUACGGGAGGCAGCAGUAGGGAAUCUUCCGCAAUGGGCGAAAGCAUGACGGAGCAACGCCGCGUGAGUGAUGAAGGUCUUCGGAUCGUAAAACUCUGUUAUUAGGGAAGAACAAAUGUGUAAGUAACUAUGCACGUCUUGACGGUACCUAAUCAGAAAGCCACGGCUAACUACGUG
Molecule: ribosomal RNA, 497 nt
Filed under: uncultured bacterium
Lineage: Bacteria
Description: partial 16S ribosomal RNA
Rfam family: Bacterial small subunit ribosomal RNA
Source: RNAcentral